This 500-nucleotide ribosomal RNA is filed under the name uncultured bacterium. Its description in RNAcentral is "partial 16S ribosomal RNA". It matches the Rfam family "Bacterial small subunit ribosomal RNA", at positions 30 to 523 of the family's 1533-position model. The record is from RNAcentral.
AUUGAACGCUGGCGGCAGGCCUAACACAUGCAAGUCGAGCGGUAGAGAGAAGCUUGCUUCUCUUGAGAGCGGCGGACGGGUGAGUAAUGCCUAGGAAUCUGCCUGGUAGUGGGGGAUAACGUUCGGAAACGGACGCUAAUACCGCAUACGUCCUACGGGAGAAAGCAGGGGACCUUCGGGCCUUGCGCUAUCAGAUGAGCCUAGGUCGGAUUAGCUAGUUGGUGAGGUAAUGGCUCACCAAGGCGACGAUCCGUAACUGGUCUGAGAGGAUGAUCAGUCACACGGGAACUGGGACACGGUCCAGACUCCUACGGGAGGCAGCAGUGGGGAAUAUUGGACAAUGGGCGAAAGCCUGAUCCAGCCAUGCCGCGUGUGUGAAGAAGGUCUUCGGAUUGUAAAGCACUUUAAGUUGGGAGGAAGGGUUGUAGAUUAAUACUCUGCAAUUUUGACGUUACCGACAGAAUAAGCACCGGCUAACUCUGUGCCAGCCGCCGCAGUAA